This 468-nucleotide ribosomal RNA is filed under the name uncultured bacterium. Its description in RNAcentral is "partial 16S ribosomal RNA". It matches the Rfam family "Bacterial small subunit ribosomal RNA", at positions 28 to 507 of the family's 1533-position model. The record is from RNAcentral.
GAUGAACGCUAGCGGCAUGCUUAACACAUGCAAGUCGAGCGGAAAGGCCCUGCUUUUGUGGCGUGCUCGAGUGGCGAACGGGCGCGUGACACGUGAGUACCCUUCCCUCGACUUUGGGAUAACUUAAUGAAACUGGGGCUAAUACCGUAUAGGAGCAUCUGCUCCAUGGUGGGGGUCGGAAAGUUUCGGCGGUUGGGGAUGGACUUGCGGGUUAUCCGCCUGUUGGUGGGGUUGUGGCUUACAAAGGCUUCGACGGGUAGCCGGCCUGAGAGGGGGACCGGCCACAUGGGGAAUGAGAUACGGGCGGGAGUCCUGCGGGAGACAGCAGUGGGGAAUAGUGCACGAUGGGCGGAAGCCUGAUGCAGCAAGGCCGCGUGCUGGGUGACAACCUUCGGGUUUUAAGGAGCUUUCGCGUGUGAGGAAGCGUUAGUGAAGGUAAUGGAUAAAGAAGCACCGGCUAACUACGUG